AUGUAACGGGGCUAAGUAGUAAACCGAAGCUGCGGCAAUGUGCUUUUGCACAUUGGGUAGGGGAGCGUUCUGUAAGCGGUUGAAGGUGUGUGGUAACGCAUGCUGGACGUAUCAGAAGUGCGAAUGCUGACAUGAGUAACGAUAAAGGGGGUGAAAAACCUCCUCGCCGGAAGACCAAGGGUUCCUGUCCAACGUUAAUCGGGGCAGGGUAAGUCGACCCCUAAGGCGAGGCCGAAAGGCGUAGUCGAUGGGAAACGGGUUAAUAUUCCCGUACUUCUUACAAUUGCGAUGGGGGGACGGAGAAGGCUAGGUGGGCCUGGCGACGGUUGUCCAGGUUCAAGUGCGUAGGCUUAAGAGUUAGGUAAAUCCGGCUCUUUUUAAGGCUGAGACACGACGUCGAGCACCUACGGGUGUGAAGUCAUUGAUGCCAUGCUUCCAGGAAAAGCCUCUAAGCUUCAGAUUGUAAGGAAUCGUACCCCAAACCGACACAGGUGGUCGGGUAGAGAAUACCAAGGCGCUUGAGAGAACUCGGGUGAAGGAACUAGGCAAAAUGGUACCGUAACUUCGGGAGAAGGUACGCUCUUGAUGGUGAAGUCCCUUGCGGAUGGAGCUGACGAGAGUCGCAGAUACCAGGUGGCUGCAACUGUUUAUUAAAAACACAGCACUGUGCAAAAUCGUAAGAUGACGUAUACGGUGUGACGCCUGCCCGGUGCCGGAAGGUUAAUUGAUGGGGUUAGACUUCGGUCGAAGCUCUUGAUCGAAGCCCCGGUAAACGGCGGCCGUAACUAUAACGGUCCUAAGGUAGCGAAAUUCCUUGUCGGGUAAGUUCCGACCUGCACGAAUGGCGUAAUGAUGGCCACGCUGUCUCCACCCGAGACUCAGUGAAAUUGAAAUCGCUGUGAAGAUGCAGUGUACCCGCGGCUAGACGGAAAGACCCCGUGAACCUUUACUACAGCUUGGCACUGAACAUUGACCCUACAUGUGUAGGAUAGGUGGGAGGCUUUGAAGCACGUACGCCAGUAUGUGUGGAGCCGUCCUUGAAAUACCACCCUUGUAGUGUUGAUGUUCUAACGUCGACCCCUAAUCGGGGUUGCGGACAGUGCCUGGUGGGUAGUUUGACUGGGGCGGUCUCCUCCCAAAGAGUAACGGAGGAGCACGAAGGUGGGCUAAUCACGGUUGGACAUCGUGAGGUUAGUGCAAUGGCAUAAGCCCGCUUGACUGCGAGAAUGACAAUUCGAGCAGGUGCGAAAGCAGGUCAUAGUGAUCCGGUGGUUCUGAAUGGAAGGGCCAUCGCUCAACGGAUAAAAGGUACUCCGGGGAUAACAGGCUGAUACCGCCCAAGAGUUCAUAUCGACGGCGGUGUUUGGCACCUCGAUGUCGGCUCAUCACAUC
RNAcentral lists this ribosomal RNA (1392 nucleotides) under Vibrio parahaemolyticus. RNAcentral describes it as "bacterial LSU rRNA". It matches the Rfam family "Bacterial large subunit ribosomal RNA", at positions 1170 to 2546 of the family's 2925-position model. The record is from RNAcentral. Lineage: Bacteria; Pseudomonadati; Pseudomonadota; Gammaproteobacteria; Vibrionales; Vibrionaceae.